GGCUCGCUAGUCAAGCGGUUAAGACGUCGCCCUCUCACGGCGAAGACAGGGGUUCGAUUCCCCUGCGGGCUA
RNAcentral lists this transfer RNA (72 nucleotides) under Lachnospiraceae bacterium. RNAcentral describes it as "tRNA-Glu". It matches the Rfam family "tRNA". Rfam says of the family: Transfer RNA (tRNA) molecules are approximately 80 nucleotides in length. Lineage: Bacteria; Bacillati; Bacillota; Clostridia; Lachnospirales; Lachnospiraceae. The record is from RNAcentral.